CUCCCUCUCUACCGUAGAUUUCCUUUGUUCUGGUUCGGGGUUGGCGUCGGGCCCUGGGAUCACGCGAAUGGCGCUCGGGCUGUGAUCCGGCUGCUGGGUGGAGAUGGUGGAUGCCGCGUGCCUAGUGCCUAGUGACACGACCUGGUUCGUCUCUAUUUUUUUUCUGGAAGAAUGGUUUGUGAUCCGCUUGUUCGUCGACAGGCCCUGGUCGCCGGGAUGCCGCGUUUUGUUAGUAUUUCUUGCUGGGGCUGCAGCCGAGGGAGAUGCAUAGUGGAUGGCGGCAGAGCGGGUCGGCAGAAGCGUGGUCGGAGGCGGGGUGGUGGUGUGAUGGCUGGGCGGCGCGUGCAUGUGUUGCCGUGUUGGGGCUGUGGUGGCUUGCGUGUGGUCUCUGCUAGGCAAUGAGAGAUUUAAAGUGAGAUGAUUAAGAGGUCCGGCGCCUUGAGCUCGCACCCGGCCGUCCCGUGCCGCUAGAUCCCUCCGGGUAGCGGCUUCCAGUUGCCUGGCACCGCCCGCUCCUCGACCUCACGCCCGUUCAGGGGCGCCUCGUGUCGUCGGUUGUUGAGAGCUGCAAGUACCUUAAAUAUGUCACCACAACCCUGCUCUGUUUCAUCCUCAUACUACAUCGUCAUACGCCGCCGUUGACUUCCUGCCGAACCCCCGGUUGGCAGGAAAUGACUGAACUCGUGAUGCUCUUUCUUCCAGCGAUUUCAUUUGCAGGUCUGCUCUUCGCUCUUACUAUUUUCAGUAUUUUUUUUGUAUAGCAGUUAGAUAUUGGAGGUAGCUGUGUGCUAUCUAUGGACCAUAUGGUACUGCUCGGAACAACCUGAUUGCGUUGCUCCAAGUGCAAUUGAAAUUCGAACACACCACAUUGCUCGGCUGCAUUUUAUAAGAAAGAAGUUAGCAGAACCAUUGACUGAUUUCAUUGGAGGAAUGAGGUACAGUGGUUAUAUGUAUGGUGAUUAAAUCAAGUUUUUUUUUACCUAUGCUUCCAACCUGUAGGUGAAUUUGUGUCUAUGCUCCGUGGCGUCGAUAUGUAAAUCUUCCGAUGCUAUUUUGUGCCAUAUGGGCAAACACUAAGUUCUGAGGAAGAGAUGUCAUAUGUGUACCAUAUGGACAAACACUCUACAUUCUAAAGGACGGGCAGAACGUGCAUCCCCUGGAUUGUCUUACUUAACCUGGCAACAAAGAGAGGAGGUUGCAAAGAAGCACGAAGGGGAAUACAUGUCUGCAUUUUUCCUGACUGAGGUAUUAAGGAAAUUAAAUUUUCUGGAGGAAGUGCUUUCUUCAAUAUCAGAUUGCUAUAAAGG
Molecule: long non-coding RNA, 1307 nt
Organism: Triticum aestivum (bread wheat)
Lineage: Eukaryota; Viridiplantae; Streptophyta; Magnoliopsida; Poales; Poaceae
Exons: 3
Source: RefSeq, a predicted model, not a curated record